This is a long non-coding RNA of Amphiprion ocellaris (clown anemonefish), 1188 nucleotides long. RefSeq lists it as uncharacterized. The transcript has 4 exons. The record is from RefSeq and is a predicted model, not a curated record. Lineage: Eukaryota; Metazoa; Chordata; Actinopteri; Pomacentridae.
UUAUGCUGUUUCAAACAUGGUUUUCACAUAAACUCUAGUAAUGUGCAUAUUUCUAAAUAUAGAACAUGUUGGAUGUCAGUGCUUAAUGCUUUUUGUUUGUAUCUAAAUUGCAGGUAACAAACAAGAUGGCUUCUGCUGUGGCAGUAGAGCCUGAGAUGUCCCCCAUACAUGGUGCUUCACAUGAGGAUUCAGACCAAGAUGAUGCUUAUGCACAGAAGCCAGUGUGUACAAGGAGAGGAUUCAGAAGAUGAGGGCAGUGUGGCACCCCUAUUGGAAUGUACCUCAUCAUCUGCCCAAAACCAAGUGGUGUCAGCAAAAAUGAGAGAAGCCAGUGUGGCACAAGGCGAGGACUCAGAAGAUGAGGACAGUGCGGCAUCCCUGCAAGAAUGUACCUCAUCAUCUGCCCAAAACCAGAUGGUGUGAACAACAAAGAGAGGUAAACAAUCUGCUGUCAAAAGACGUUGGACGCCAGAGGAAUCUGCUGCAGUUUACAGACAUUUAAGGAAAUUCAUAGUGAGAAGCCAAGUUCCCGAAAAAGUGGACUGUGAGCACUGUAUUACUGCAGAACCUCAAGCACUAGGAAACAGAGACUGGAAAGCAGUAAAAUACUUCAAGAAUCUUCUGCCAUCAGAAGAGAACUACAGUGAAUUGCUACUAGAUGUGAGCAGUGUGUGGAUUCUGCUUUAUUCAAACUGUACCUGCCAGGUAACACUAUCUACACAGCUGCAUUUACAAACACAAACAGAUGAUGGAGUAAACAGAGCAGCCAUCUUAGUACCUUAAAAUGGCCAAUUUCCUGUUAAGAGAAUGUUCUGUUUGUUGUGGAAUGUUACAUAAGACUGCCAAGUUUUGUUCAUUCAUUAGGGUUAUGUCGUGUUAUGUCUGUGUUUCGUUGUCCCUCUCUGUCUCAUUCUCUUUCUAUGUCUGGUUCUGUCUCUAUGUCUCAUCUCUCUGUCUCGUCUCUCUCUCUGUCUCUCUGUCUCCUUGUGUCUCUCUGUCACGUCUCUCUGUUUCAUUGUCUCUGUCUCAUCUCUGUCUCAUUAUCUCUCUGUCUCGUCUCUGUCUCCUUGUCUCUAUGUCUCAUUCUCUCUCUGUAUCUCGUCCUCUCUCUAUGUCUAGUUCUCUCUUUGUGUCUAAUGUCUGUCUCUCGUUCUCUGCCUGUGUCUCAUUCUCUCUCUGUAUCUCGUC